Long non-coding RNA from Papaver somniferum (opium poppy), 304 nucleotides. RefSeq lists it as uncharacterized. The record is from RefSeq and is a predicted model, not a curated record. The transcript is spliced from 2 exons. NCBI's taxonomy places the organism in Eukaryota, Viridiplantae, Streptophyta, Magnoliopsida, Ranunculales, Papaveraceae.
UUCCAGUGAAGGUAGUGGGUUUUGUCUGGAAAUGAAAUGGACGUAAAAAGACUGGAACAGCUCAUGUUCGUCUUCAGAUACUCCUUUCUCUUGCAGCGUCAAGGAGUGCGCAAAGAUGAAGCUGAUGUUAAGAGUGUUAUGCUCAGACAACAAAGAUGAAAGGUCAGUGCAAGACUUUCUUUCACGGUAGCCGUAAGACCCUUAUUUCUCAACUUGUUAUGCAAGGAUUGAGGGAAUGAAACUGGUGUUCUACAUCUAUGUCAAAACUACAGAUUACAGACAACAGAAAUAAAAAGGUUACAGG